GCCGUUCUCAGUUCGGAUCGGAGUCUGCAACCCGACUCCGUGAAGCUGGAUUCGCUAGUAAUCGCGCAUCAGCCAUGGCGCGGUGAAUACGUUCCCGGGCCUUGUACACACCGCCCGUCAAGCCAUGGGAGCCGGGGGUGCUUGAAGUGCGUCGCCGCAAGGCGCGCCCUAGAGCAAAACCGGUGACUGGGGCUAAGUCGUAACAAGGUAGC
Molecule: ribosomal RNA, 212 nt
Filed under: uncultured bacterium
Lineage: Bacteria
Description: partial 16S ribosomal RNA
Rfam family: Bacterial small subunit ribosomal RNA
Source: RNAcentral